GACGAACGCUGGCGGCGUGCUUAACACAUGCAAGUCGAACGGAAAGGCCCUGCUUGCAGGGUACUCGAGUGGCGAACGGGUGAGUAACACGUGGGUGAUCUGCCCUGCACUUCGGGAUAAGCCUGGGAAACUGGGUCUAAUACCGGAUAGGAGCCAUUUUUAGUGUGAUGGUUGGAAAGUUUUUUCGGUGUUGGAUGAGCUCGCGGCCUAUCAGCUUGUUGGUGGGGUAAUGGCCUACCAAGGCGGCGACGGGUAGCCGGCCUGAGAGGGUGGACGGCCACAUUGGGACUGAGAGACGGCCCAGACGCCUACGGGAGGCAGCAGGGGGGAAUAUUGCACAAUGGGCGCAAGCCUGAUGCAGCGACGCCGCGGGGGGGAUGACGGCCUUCGGGUUGUAAACUCAUUUCGCUAGGGACGAAGCUUUUUGUGACGGUACCUAGAGAAGAAGCACCGGCUAACUACGUG
This 465-nucleotide ribosomal RNA is filed under the name uncultured bacterium. Its description in RNAcentral is "partial 16S ribosomal RNA". It matches the Rfam family "Bacterial small subunit ribosomal RNA", at positions 28 to 507 of the family's 1533-position model. The record is from RNAcentral.